UGGGGAAUAUUGGACAAUGGGCGAAAGCCUGAUCCAGCCAUGCCGCGUGUGUGAAGAAGGUCUUCGGAUUGUAAAGCACUUUAAGUUGGGAGGAAGGGCAGUAAGCGAAUACCUUGCUGUUUUGACGUUACCGACAGAAUAAGCACCGGCUAACUCUGUGCCAGCAGCCGCGGUAAUACAGAGGGUGCAAGCGUUAAUCGGAAUUACUGGGCGUAAAGCGCGCGUAGGUGGUUCGUUAAGUUGAAUGUGAAAGCCCCGGGCUCAACCUGGGAACAGCAUCCAAAACUGUCGAGCUAGAGUAGGGCAGAGGGUGGUGGAAUUUCCUGUGUAGCGGUGAAAUGCGUAGAUAUAGGAAGGAACACCAGUGGCGAAGGCGACCACCUGGGCUCAUACUGACACUGAGGUGCGAAAGCGUGGGGAGCAAACAGG
RNAcentral lists this ribosomal RNA (429 nucleotides) under Pseudomonadota bacterium. RNAcentral's name for it is "Proteobacteria bacterium partial 16S ribosomal RNA". It matches the Rfam family "Bacterial small subunit ribosomal RNA", at positions 355 to 776 of the family's 1533-position model. The record is from RNAcentral. Lineage: Bacteria; Pseudomonadati; Pseudomonadota.